GAUGAACGCUGGCGGCGUGCCUAAUACAUGCAAGUCGAGCGAACAGACGAGGCGCUCGCUCCUCUGACGUUACCGGCGGACGGGUGAGUAACACGUGGAUAACCUACCUAUCAGACUGGGAUCACUUCGGGACACCGGAGCUCAUACCGGAUAAUCUAUUGAACCGCAUGGUUCAAUAGUGAAAGACGGUUUUGCUGUCACUUAUAGAUGGACCCGCGCCGCAUUAGCUAGUUGGUAAGGUAACGGCUUACCAAGGCGACGAUGCGUAGCCGACCUGAGAGGGUGAUCGGCCACACUGGAACUGAGACACGGUCCAGACUCCUACGGGAGGCAGCAGUAGGGAAUCUUCCGCAAUGGGCGAAAGCCUGACGGAGCAACGCCGCGUGAGUGAUGAAGGUCUUCGGAUCGUAAAACUCUGUUAGUAGGGAAGAACGAAUGUGUAAGUAACUAUGCACGUCUUGACGGUACCUAAUCAGAAAGCCACGGCUAACUACGUG
This 497-nucleotide ribosomal RNA is filed under the name uncultured bacterium. RNAcentral describes it as "partial 16S ribosomal RNA". It matches the Rfam family "Bacterial small subunit ribosomal RNA", at positions 28 to 507 of the family's 1533-position model. The record is from RNAcentral.